This is a non-coding RNA of Escherichia coli str. K-12 substr. MG1655, 69 nucleotides long. The record is from Rfam. NCBI's taxonomy places the organism in Bacteria, Pseudomonadati, Pseudomonadota, Gammaproteobacteria, Enterobacterales, Enterobacteriaceae.
ACCGAAAGACGAUUAAUUUCGUUUUUUAGUCAUAAAAAACCUGCCAGCGAUGGCAGGUUUUUUUUUGCC